Molecule: ribosomal RNA, 498 nt
Filed under: uncultured bacterium
Lineage: Bacteria
Description: partial 16S ribosomal RNA
Rfam family: Bacterial small subunit ribosomal RNA
Source: RNAcentral
AUUGAACGCUGGCGGCAUGCUUUACACAUGCAAGUCGAACGGUAACAGGCCGCAAGGUGCUGACGAGUGGCGAACGGGUGAGUAAUGCAUCGGAACGUGCCCAGUCGUGGGGGAUAACGCAGCGAAAGCUGUGCUAAUACCGCAUACGAUCUAUGGAUGAAAGCGGGGGACCGUAAGGCCUCGCGCGAUUGGAGCGGCAGAUGUCAGAUUAGGUAGUUGGUGGGGUAAAGGCCCACCAAGCCAACGAUCUGUAGCUGGUCUGAGAGGACGACCAGCAACACUGGGACUGGGACACGGCCCAGACUCCUACGGGAGGCAGCAGUGGGGAAUUUUGGACAAUGGGCGCAAGCCUGAUCCAGCAAUGCCGCGUGCAGGAAGAAGGCCUUCGGGUUGUAAACUGCUUUUGUACGGAACGAAAAGGUCUGGGUUAAUACCCUGGGCCGAUGACGGUACCGUAAGAAUAAGCACCGGCUAACUACGUGCCAGCAGCCGCCGUAA